This 468-nucleotide ribosomal RNA is filed under the name uncultured bacterium. RNAcentral describes it as "partial 16S ribosomal RNA". It matches the Rfam family "Bacterial small subunit ribosomal RNA", at positions 28 to 507 of the family's 1533-position model. The record is from RNAcentral.
GACGAACGCUGGCGGCGUGCUUAACACAUGCAAGUCGAACGGAAAGGCCCUGCUUUUGUGGGGUACUCGAGUGGCGAACGGGUGAGUAACACGUGAGUAACCUGCCCUUGACUUUGGGAUAACUUCAGGAAACUGGGGCUAAUACCGGAUAGGAGCUCCUGCUGCAUGGUGGGGGUUGGAAAGUGUCGGCGGUUGGGGAUGGACUCGCGGCUUAUCAGCUUGUUGGUGGGGUAGUGGCUUACCAAGGCGUUGACGGGCAGCCGGCCUGAGAGGGUGACCGGCCACAUUGGGUCGGAGAUACGGCCCAGACCCCUACGGGAGGCAGCAGUGGGGUAUGUUGCACAGUGGGCGGAAGGCUGAUGUAGCAACGCGGCGUGCGGGAUGACGGCCAGCGGUUUGUAAUCCGCUUUCGCCUGGGACGGAGAGUGAGUGACGGUAAUGGGUAAAGAAGCACCGGCUAACUACGUG